GUAGUUAGCCGGAGCUUCCUCCUUAGGUACCGUCACUUUCUUCGUCCCUAAGGACAGAGGUUUACAAUCCAGAGAACCUUCUUCCCUCACGCGGCGUUGCUGGUUCAGGGUUUCCCCCAUUGACCAAUAUUCCCUACUGCUGCCUCCCGUAGGAGUUUGGACCGUGUCUCAGUUCCAAUGUGGCCGAUCACCCUCUCAGGUCGGCUACCUAUCGCAGGCUUGGUGGGCCAUUACCUCACCAACUACCUAAUAGGACGCGAGCUCAUCCAUAAGCGAAUUUCUUUGACCCCUCUAUCAUGUGAUAAUGUGGUCUUAUGCGGUAUUAGCAGUCGUUUCCAACUGUUGUCCCCCUCUUAUGGGCAGAUUACUCACGCGUUACUCACCCGUCCGCCACUAAUUCUAAGCAUCUUCCACCCGAAGGCUUCCGUCGCUUAGCUUCGUUCGACUUGCAUGUAUUAAGCACGCCGCCAGCGUUCGUCCUGAGCCAGGAUCAAACUCUGA
This 501-nucleotide ribosomal RNA is filed under the name uncultured bacterium. RNAcentral describes it as "partial 16S ribosomal RNA". The record is from RNAcentral.